CCUACGGGUGGCAGCAGUGGGGAAUAUUGCUCAAUGGGGGAAACCCUGAAGCAGCCACGCCGCGUGAGGGAAGAAGUAUCUCGGUAUGUUAAACUCCUUUUGUCGGGGAGAAAAUGACGGUACGUGUUUAAGAAGCCCCGGCUAACUACGGGCCAGAAGCCGCGGUAAUACGGAGGGGGCCAGCGUUAUCCGGAUUUACUGGGUGUUAAGGGGGCGUAUUCGGGAUUAUAAGUCAGGAGUGAAAUGCUGGGGCUUAACCACAGAACUGCUGUGGAAACUGUGCGGCUAGAGUGUAGGAGAGGUAAGUGGAAUGCUUGGUGUAGCGGUGAAAUGCGUAGAUAUCAGGAAGAACACCGAUUGCGAAGGCAGCUUACUAGACUAUAACUGACGUUGAGGCUCGAAAGCGUGGGGAGCAAACAGGAUUAGAUACCCGAGUAGUC
This 440-nucleotide ribosomal RNA is filed under the name uncultured bacterium. RNAcentral describes it as "partial 16S ribosomal RNA". It matches the Rfam family "Bacterial small subunit ribosomal RNA", at positions 338 to 795 of the family's 1533-position model. The record is from RNAcentral.